This 517-nucleotide ribosomal RNA is filed under the name Fusarium solani. RNAcentral's name for it is "eukaryotic LSU rRNA". The stretch from base 164 to 317 matches the Rfam family "5.8S ribosomal RNA". Lineage: Eukaryota; Fungi; Ascomycota; Sordariomycetes; Hypocreales; Nectriaceae. The record is from RNAcentral.
AGGAGGUCAUUACCGAGUUAUACACUCAUCAACCCUCGUGAACAUACCUAUAACGUUGCCUCGGCGGGAACAGACGGCCCCGUAACACGGGCCGCCCCCGCCAGAGGACCCCCUAACUCUGUUUCUAUAAUGUUUCUUCUGAGUAAACAAGCAAAUAAAUUAAAACUUUCAACAACGGAUCUCUUGGCUCUGGCAUCGAUGAAGAACGCAGCGAAAUGCGAUAAGUAAUGUGAAUUGCAGAAUUCAGUGAAUCAUCGAAUCUUUGAACGCACAUUGCGCCCGCCAGUAUUCUGGCGGGCAUGCCUGUUCGAGCGUCAUUACAACCCUCAGGCCCCCGGGCCUGGCGUUGGGGAUCGGCGGAAGCCCCCUGCGGGCACAACGCCGUCCCCCAAAUACAGUGGCGGUCCCGCCGCAGCUUCCAUUGCGUAGUACUAACACCUCGCAACUGGAGAGCGGCGCGGCCACGCCGUAAAACACCCAACUUCUGAAUGUUGACCUCGAAUCAGGUAGGAAUACC